Erinaceus europaeus (western European hedgehog) is the source of this 1030-nucleotide long non-coding RNA. RefSeq lists it as uncharacterized. The record is from RefSeq and is a predicted model, not a curated record. NCBI's taxonomy places the organism in Eukaryota, Metazoa, Chordata, Mammalia, Eulipotyphla, Erinaceidae. The transcript is spliced from 3 exons.
GGGGAAGCCCCACAAGUGGUGAAGUAGGUCUGCAGGUGUGUCUCUUUCUCUCUUUCCUUUCCCUCUCAAGUUCUCUCUGCUUUAUCAAAUAAAAUAAAUAAAUAAUCGCACCAAAGUAAAAGACUCUGGGGUGGGUGGGUUGGGAGAAUACAGGUCCAUGAAGGAUGAUAAAUGACAUAGUGGGGGUUGUAUUGUUAAAUGGGAAACUGGGGAAUGUUAUGCAUGUACAAACUAUUGUAUUUACUGUUGAAUGUAAAACAUACAAUAAAGAAAUUAAAAAAAAAUAAAACAAAACAAAACUAAAUAAAUAAAUAAAUAAAUAAAAAUUCAAAAUACAAAAAAGAAAAAAAGGAAAAAGAAAAGGAAAGGGGUCAGAUCACACUGUCCCAGCACCCUGUGUCUCCCUCUGCCUGCUCUCUGUGUGUCGGGGCCGCCUGGCCUCAGGUUUUUGGGCACCAGCCACCUAGCAGGCUGUGACUUGGCAGCAGGGAGCAGGACCUAGAAGUGAGAUCUGCCCGGGAACCGCCAGCCACGCCUGGGUUUUGGUUCAGCCAGUGUUUGCAGAACUCGCUCUCAGUUCUGGGAAGGUGCCAGGAGGCCAGGAGGAACUCAGUGAUUGGGGUGUGUGUGUGUCGGGGGGACCCCAUGAACUGAUUGGCAGUGCGGGAAGAGAGACACUCAAGGUCCAGAGGAGAAAUAUCACUCCCUCAUCACGAAGCUGCCCAGGGUGCUGUGGUGCUCACAUGUGACCGGGAGCUUAAACCCAGGCCUUCAGGACACAAUGUCAUCUUUUUAUAGUGCUGUCUCAACUGGAGUAUGGAUUGAUCUGCCAACACCCAUGUUCAGCAGGGAAGCAAUUAUAGAAGUCAGACCUUCCACCUUCUGCACCCCAGAAUGAUCCUGGGUCCAUGCUCUCAGAAGGCUAAAGAAUAGGAAAGCUUUCAAGGGAGGUGAUGGGAUAUCGAGUUCUGGUGGUGGGAACUGUGUGGAAUUGUACCCCUCUUAUCCUAUGGUCUUGUUAAUAUUUCCA